Molecule: ribosomal RNA, 468 nt
Filed under: uncultured bacterium
Lineage: Bacteria
Description: partial 16S ribosomal RNA
Rfam family: Bacterial small subunit ribosomal RNA
Source: RNAcentral
GACGAACGCUGGCGGCGUGCUUAACACAUGCGAGUCGAACGGAAAGGCCCUGCUUUUGUGGGGUGCUCGAGUGGCGAACGGGUGAGUAACACGUGAGUAACCUGCCCUUGACUUUGGGAUAACUUCAGGAAACUGGGGCUAAUACCGGAUAGGAGCUCCUGCUGCAUGGUGGGGGUUGGAAAGUUUCGGCGGUUGGGGAUGGACUCGCGGCUUAUCAGCUUGUUGGUGGGGUAGUGGCUUACCAAGGCUUUGACGGGUAGCCGGCCUGAGAGGGUGACCGGCCACAUUGGGACUGAGAUACGGCCCAGACUCCUACGGGAGGCAGCAGUGGGGAAUAUUGCACAAUGGGCGGAAGCCUGAUGCAGCAACGCCGCGUGCGGGAUGACGGCCCUCGGGUUGUAAACCGCUUUCGCCUGUGACGAAGCGUGAGUGACGGUAAUGGGUAAAGAAGCACCGGCUAACUACGUG